UGGGGAAUAUUGGACAAUGGGCGAAAGCCUGAUCCAGCCAUGCCGCGUGUGUGAAGAAGGUCUUCGGAUUGUAAAGCACUUUAAGUUGGGAGGAAGGGCAGUAAGCGAAUACCUUGCUGUUUUGACGUUACCGACAGAAUAAGCACCGGCUAACUCUGUGCCAGCAGCCGCGGUAAUACAGAGGGUGCAAGCGUUAAUCGGAAUUACUGGGCGUAAAGCGCGCGUAGGUGGUUCGUUAAGUUGAAUGUGAAAGCCCCGGGCUCAACCUGGGAACUGCAGCCGAAACUGGCGAGCUAGAGUAGGGCAGAAGGAGGUAGAAUUUCCUGUGUAGCGGUGAAAUGCGUAGAUAUAGGAAGGAACACCAGUGGCGAAGGCGACCACCUGGGCUCGUACUGACACUGAGGUGCGAAAGCGUGGGGAGCAAACAGG
This 429-nucleotide ribosomal RNA is filed under the name Pseudomonadota bacterium. RNAcentral's name for it is "Proteobacteria bacterium partial 16S ribosomal RNA". It matches the Rfam family "Bacterial small subunit ribosomal RNA", at positions 355 to 776 of the family's 1533-position model. The record is from RNAcentral. Lineage: Bacteria; Pseudomonadati; Pseudomonadota.